Molecule: long non-coding RNA, 422 nt
Filed under: Salvia miltiorrhiza (redroot sage)
Lineage: Eukaryota; Viridiplantae; Streptophyta; Magnoliopsida; Lamiales; Lamiaceae
Description: long non-coding RNA (SMIL_LNC010060)
Source: RNAcentral
CCGCGAUAUCGUUUCCAUACUAUAGUAGUAUUAUUAACAUUUACUUGGAUCAAUGAGCAUCCUUCCACUGGCAUACCAUACCAAAAACUGGGUUAAACAAAACAAUAAUGUUACAUGCACCAAAAGAUAUCCUAGUUUUCUAUAUAAUUUUUGUGAAACACCAAAGAACCAAAUACUAUGUAAAAUCCCACCAUCAACAAAUGGUGUCUUAAGUCAUUCAAGUCUUCAAGUUGUUACACAAUGGCAGUCAUAGUUCCAGAGGUAAAUAUCCACUGUCUUUGGCAUAAUAUAGUGCUACUGCUAGUAAAAUGAAGAACACAAUGAUCCACAAGCCUGCAAAUCAUAACAAGUGAUAAGUAAGUAAAAACAAUAAAAUAUCUAGAAACUGAUAAGUAGAAUCUCUCAACUUUGUGUCCAUACUA